This 66-nucleotide transfer RNA is filed under the name Tenebrionoidea sp. 22 KM-2017. Its description in RNAcentral is "tRNA-Glu". The record is from RNAcentral. Lineage: Eukaryota; Metazoa; Arthropoda; Insecta; Coleoptera.
AUUUAUAUAGUUUAAAAAAAACAUUAUAUUUUCAAUAUAAAAAUAAACUAUUAUUUUUUAUAAAUA